UGCUUGGGAAACUGCCCAGUCGUGGGGGACAACCAUUGGAAACGAUGGCUAAUACCGCAUACGCCCUACGGGAAAGGAGGGGACUCUUCGGAGCCUUUCGCGAUUGGAUGUGCCCAAGUGGGAUUAGCUAGUUGGUGAGGUAAAGGCUCACCAAGGCGACGAUCCCUAGCUGGUUUGAGAGGAUGAUCAGCCACACUGGAACUGAGACACGGUCCAGACUCCUACGGGAGGCAGCAGUGGGGAAUAUUGCACAAUGGAGGAAACUCUGAUGCAGCCAUGCCGCGUGUAUGAAGAAGGCCU
This 300-nucleotide ribosomal RNA is filed under the name uncultured Alteromonadales bacterium. Its description in RNAcentral is "bacterial SSU rRNA". It matches the Rfam family "Bacterial small subunit ribosomal RNA", at positions 114 to 417 of the family's 1533-position model. The record is from RNAcentral. Lineage: Bacteria; Pseudomonadati; Pseudomonadota; Gammaproteobacteria; Alteromonadales.